CCACACCCAGCCGCCGCAUCCUAUCUGUUUCCCUUCCUUCUCUCAGUAACGCAACACACACAGCAGCAACAACUGCAAAAGGAAGCCAAGAAAAGAAAGGGUUAGGGAAAAAUGGGAAGAAGGAGAGGGGAGAGGGGGAGGACGGCGCCGGCGAGGAGCCACUAUCGCCGCCACCGCAUUGUCGCUGGGUCUCGGAGGGAGACCGUGCUUGGGACUGUCGUCGUCAAGUCACCACGAGCCGCCGAUCGCGCUCCAGUUUAGCUCGCCGACCAGCCGCAUUCUGCCACCACGUCCAGCUCCUCGCCGUCGCGCUACCGAUUUGCCGCCGAUUCUGUCAUCCGCGCCGUCGCCCUUACUGCGAGACCAGCGCCGCCGUUUCCAUCCUUGCACGAGAAUAGGUAGAGGCUAGCAGUGGAGGGCGGCGCAUGAGAGGGAGUUUGUGGUGAAGGGAGAGUGGCGCCGUCUUGUACGCUGCCGUUACACCUGGAUGCCGCCGCCGCUACUGCGAGCUCGCCGUCGCCGAAGCUGGGUAGUUAUUGUCCUUGCCAGCAGCGAAGAAGAAGAAGCGAGAUGAAACCCCCAGUGUCUGCUGCUUCGGUUUGCCGAGAAAGAGCUUGGCGCUGCCGGAGUUGCUGUCUGCCUCUGCCUCGGGGUUCUGCGAGUUGCCGGAGCCCACUGUCGCCGGAGCUGCCCAGAACCACCACUGUGGCUGCCGCUGGGAGUGUGAACGGAAGGGGGAGAAGCUGGUUCUGUCAUAGCCAUUCCUGGGGGAGAAAUUAUCCGUGCCACUGUACCCUGGCGCUGGGAAACGCCACUACCGCGACCAAGUUCCACCGCCGGAGUUUCUGACUACUUCUGCCAUUGCCGGAAAAGUUGCAAUUGAUCCGCCGGAGCUUCUGGCCGCCGCCGGAGCUGUUACUGGGCCGGUUCGAAAUCGCAGUUGCCUCAUUGUGUUGUUUCGUGUUGCUAUGGUUAUUGCGAACGUGGCUUGGAACCGAGGUUUUGGCUGCUGGGAUUUUGAUUGUUGAUUUUGGGUCGAGGCAGAAAGGAUUCUGUGACGCGUUUGGGUUAUGAAAUUGCGUUUUGAGGAUUUGGGCGCAGAAGUUAUGAAGAGUUUAAUUAUUUGUUAUUGAGAUGCUCUGUAUUGCUUUAGAUUAUUAUUUUGUACCCUCGUCUUUAUCUUGAUAUAUUCUGUGAGAGGGAUAGGAAUUGUACUGGAUGAUGUUUGUAAUAUUAUUUAUAUAUAUGUAUGUAUAUAUAUAUGGAUGUACUCUUUAUGAGUUUUCUGUAAGUGGUAUGGUAUGUAUGGACGUACGUUGUAUGGCGAAAGUAUUUUUGGGAAUGGUAUUGCGGUUUAAAGUUUUUAAACAGGCUCAUAUUUUAGUAUUAAAUAGUAUAAGUGUCGUCGUAAUGUCCGAGCUACCAGAGUUGCGCAGCCGGAAGCGUGAGCUUUGGUAGUUAGGGUGUUACAUUUUGCUUCUUGAUAUUCCUUAUUAUAGACUUCUUGUCUAUGAUCUAUAAUAUUUUUUCCAAAAAAUUCUUUAUAUAGAAUCAUCAUUAUAUAUAAUAUCUUAUCAUAAGCUGUUGUUUU
This is a long non-coding RNA of Arachis stenosperma, 1591 nucleotides long. RefSeq lists it as uncharacterized. Lineage: Eukaryota; Viridiplantae; Streptophyta; Magnoliopsida; Fabales; Fabaceae. The record is from RefSeq and is a predicted model, not a curated record. The transcript is spliced from 4 exons.